RNAcentral lists this ribosomal RNA (253 nucleotides) under uncultured bacterium. RNAcentral describes it as "partial 16S ribosomal RNA". It matches the Rfam family "Bacterial small subunit ribosomal RNA", at positions 524 to 776 of the family's 1533-position model. The record is from RNAcentral.
UACGUAGGGUCCGAGCGUUGUCCGGAAUUACUGGGCGUAAAGAGCUCGUAGGUGGUUUGUCGCGUCGUCCGUGAAAACUCACAGCUCAACUGUGGGCGUGCGGGCGAUACGGGCAGACUGGAGUACUGCAGGGGAGACUGGAAUUCCUGGUGUAGCGGUGGAAUGCGCAGAUAUCAGGAGGAACACCGGUGGCGAAGGCGGGUCUCUGGGCAGUAACUGACGCUGAGGAGCGAAAGCGUGGGGAGCGAACAGG